RNAcentral lists this ribosomal RNA (868 nucleotides) under uncultured bacterium. Its description in RNAcentral is "bacterial SSU rRNA". It matches the Rfam family "Bacterial small subunit ribosomal RNA", at positions 8 to 905 of the family's 1533-position model. The record is from RNAcentral.
AGAGUUUGAUCCUGGCUCAGGAUAAACGCUGGCGGCGUGCAUGAGACAUGCAAGUCGAACGAACGAGCUUGCUCGUUAGUGGCGGACGGCUGAGUAACGCGUAGGUGACCUGCCCUGAAGUGGGGGAUAACUGCCCGAAAGGGUGGCUAAUACCGCAUGUGGCGACACGUUCAGUCGUGUCAUCAAAGCCGCGAGGCGCUUCGGGAGGGGCCUGCGUCCGAUUAGCUCGUUGGUGGGGUAACGGCUCACCAAGGCGACGAUCGGUAGGUGGUCUGAGAGGACGACCACCCAGACUGGGACUGAGACACGGCCCAGACUCCUACGGGAGGCAGCAGUCGGGAAUUUUGCUCAAUGGGCGAAAGCCUGAAGCAGCAACGCCGCGUGAGGGAUGAAUGCCUUCGGGUUGUAAACCUCUUUUACCAGGGACGAUGAUGACGGUACCUGAUGAAUAAGUCACGGCUAACUACGUGCCAGCAGCCGCGGUAAUACGUAGGUGACCAGCGUUGUCCGGAUUUACUGGGCGUAAAAGAGCGCGCAGGCGGUCGUUCAAGUCGAGUGUGAAAGCCCCCGGCUCAACUGGGGAGGGUCAUUCGAUACUGAUCGACUGGAAGGCAGGAGAGGGAAGCGGAAUUCCCGGUGUAGUGGUGAAAUGCGUAGAUAUCGGGAGGAACACCAGUGGCGAAGGCGGCUUCCUGCCCUGUUCUUGACGCUGAGGCGCGAAAGCUAGGGGAGCAAACGGGAUUAGAUACCCCGGUAGUCCUAGCCGUAAACGAUGGACACUAGGUGUUGUGGUAUCAACCCCACCAGUGCCGAAGCUAACGCAUUAAGUGUCCCGCCUGGGGAGUACGGCCGCAGGCUAAAACUCAAG